Molecule: long non-coding RNA, 1043 nt
Filed under: Homo sapiens (human)
Lineage: Eukaryota; Metazoa; Chordata; Mammalia; Primates; Hominidae
Description: HSALNT0036090
Source: RNAcentral
AAUUCUUCAAAAAUCACAGGAAAUCACAGCAGAUCGUAGCUUGAACGCACAGCGAGAAAAGAAGACUUCAAAAAUAAUAAAGAAACAAGAAAGAAGCAAGAGACAGCCAAACAAACGUGUUCACUUCUAUUUAUAUGAGAUUGUAGCACAGGGAAAACCAAAUUAUUAUAAUGAAUAUCUGAAUACCAGUUACCUUGAUUGGGAUGGGGGAGCAGUUGAUGCCUGGGAAGGUGCACAAGGGAUGAAUCUGGAGAAUUUGAAAUAUUCUAGAGAUUCAUCUGGAUGGCGAACAUACGUAAAACUUAGUUGCAUAUUUAACAUUUCCAUCCUUUGUGAGUGUUUUAUAUCAAUUAAAAAGUGUAAGAAGCCAAUCCUGCACCCUGAAUCCAAUAUGAAUUUAAAAAUAAGAAUCAUCAUAUGUUUACGGAAUCUUAACCUUGCUAAGGAGAAGUGAGAAAUGCACCUGGGAAAUUCUAAGUAACGAGAAAUCUAAGAGAGAAGACAAAGAGAAAAGGGAAUUUAUCCUACUCAUGCAGCACAGAUUUUAUCUCUAUUGGUUUCUCUCUAAACAGAGACAAUAUUUAAGUCAUUUUGCCCUCAAGAGAGGCUCCCACCAUCCCCUUGGCUCUUUCCACCCCACUGCACCCAUCAGGGGAUUUGCAUAUUGUCCCCUAGGGAGGACCUUCCAUUGUGAGUCUGAGAUAAAAGCUCAGCUCUAACCUUGCCUUGACUGAUCAGGACUCCUCAGGGCACCUUCUCACGAUGAGGCUCCCUGCUCAGCUCCUGGGGCUGCUAAUGCUCCGGGUCCCCGGUAAGGACAGCAGGGAGAUGAGGGAGGAGAAUGGGGUGGGAGGGUGAGCUCUGGGGGCCCAAUGUCUCCCAUGUGUGUUCAGUCCACGUGUUAGAUAUGCAGGUCUUUUUCUGCAGCAUGAGGCAUAUGAUGUACUGAUCUCUGAGAGGGAGGAAGAUUUUAGAAGGAAGGAUAUGUGCCCUGAAGAAACACAAGUCUUAGAAAGAGGAUGAUGGUAUGGGAGACCACUUUG